AUGCCUGGCCAUUACUUGGUGUCAUCCUCAGCCACUGCUUCUGGCAGUGUCAUCCAUUGGCUCUGUGGUACUUUGGAACAAAUGUCGCUCACCCAUGUUGCCACAUUGCAUAUUGAAAAUAUGGGGCUGUCAUACCUGGAGCUCCCACCCGAAGCAAAGCACAUCAAGAUACCAGUGCUGGCGAAUUCAGCAGAUGGGGGGAUUCUGCUGCUCUUCAUGCAAGGCCUUGAGAUGUCACUCUGGAAACACACCAGUGCGCUUGGCAGUGACAGCAGCAGCAGCUGGGUGCUUUCUGAAAGGAUUGACAUGAGUAGUUCCUUGCCUCAGCGGGUGGCUACGCUGGGUAGCCGGGCAAAGGUCAGGUUGGAGAUGUUUGGAGGCAAGAGCGGGGUGGUGGUGGUCAGGGUUGUUGGAGAAGGCCUCUUUCUGUUCAGCCUCAGUGAUGGGUCGAUGAGGGAGAUUGACAGUGCGCAUGUGACCAAGGAUUACUUCCUCUGCCCAUAUGAAAUUGACUGGCUGUCCUGCCUCGCAAUCACAAACCUCGUCGUGGAUGGCUCGUUGUCGCAGGACGUAGAAAGGAAAAAGGCUCAAGAUAGAUGGAGGACAUUAAUGAGAAUGAAUUUGGUGACGAACGGAGCAUCUUAA
This 645-nucleotide ribosomal RNA is filed under the name Triticum aestivum (bread wheat). Its description in RNAcentral is "partial small subunit ribosomal RNA". The record is from RNAcentral. Lineage: Eukaryota; Viridiplantae; Streptophyta; Magnoliopsida; Poales; Poaceae.